GCCCGCAUAGCUCAGCCGGUAGAGCGCCUCCAUGGUAAGGAGGAGGUCCCCAGUUCGAGUCUGGGUGCGGGCU
RNAcentral lists this transfer RNA (73 nucleotides) under Limnochorda pilosa. It matches the Rfam family "tRNA". From Rfam's summary of the family: Transfer RNA (tRNA) molecules are approximately 80 nucleotides in length. Their secondary structure includes four short double-helical elements and three loops (D, anti-codon, and T loops). Lineage: Bacteria; Bacillati; Bacillota; Limnochordia; Limnochordales; Limnochordaceae. The record is from Rfam by way of RNAcentral.